RNAcentral lists this ribosomal RNA (110 nucleotides) under Scophthalmus maximus (turbot). Lineage: Eukaryota; Metazoa; Chordata; Actinopteri; Pleuronectiformes; Scophthalmidae. The record is from RNAcentral.
GCUUACGGCCACACCGCCUGGUUCACCGCCCGAUCUCGGAAGCUAACAUAGGUUGGGCCUGGUUAGUACUUGGAUGGGAGACCGCCUGGGAAAACCAGGUGCUGUAAGCU